Molecule: long non-coding RNA, 1893 nt
Organism: Heterocephalus glaber (naked mole-rat)
Lineage: Eukaryota; Metazoa; Chordata; Mammalia; Rodentia; Bathyergidae
Source: Ensembl
CCUGAGCCUGAGCGGACGGAGGGAGCGGGCCUGGGCCCCUCCCCGCCCCGGCACCUGGUAUUCUAUUCUGUCACCGCCCGGGGCCACACCUCUGCGGUCCCGCCUCGGGCCCUGAGCCUUGGGAACGGAGGAGCUGGCGGCACCGAGGCUCCCGAACCUCAGACCCGGGUCUGGCAGCCCCAGGCGCCUGGAUGAGGGGCGAUCGAAGCCUCGGCCCAGCUGCCACCGACCGGGCAGCUGUGUGACCCUGGAAGUCACUUAGCCUCUGCGAGCAUCUGUUUCCUUAUCUCUCAAACCCGGAUAAUAACCUCUAUUUUGUAGUGUUGGUAUGAGGAUUAGCUCAGGUGUUGAUAAAAUAAAAUGCCUGGAAUGUAGAGAGUAACACUUGUUAUUGUUGAUAGUAAUUGCAGGAACCCUGAAGAGUUUCUCCGCAGGAGCCACAGGGACCUUGAUAAAUAUUUAAUUACUUCAUUAUAGGAAAAAAAAAAGUAAGCAACAGGUGCAUUCUUGGCAAAUGCACGGAAGGACGGGUCCUAGCCACGGUGCAGCAGCGUGCUGGGCAGAUUUUUCUCUAUUCCUUACAACCUGUGAAGGGCUGUCUCUAUCACGCGAAAUGAAGUGCAUCCGUUUCACCUGGAGAGUUGGGGUGGAGAGCACCCUAAAGCAGUUCCUGGGCUGUCCACCUCCUCUUCCCUGGGAGGAGCGGGUCGCCUAGGAGCUGAUGACCGUCUGCUAACAGCGAUCCAGGCCCAGGCCCAGGAGAUUCACCUCCAUGAGAAGACCGUGCGGUAUAACCAACAGUGUGUAAAUUAGGUGACAAAAGGGCUUAAGAAGCCCAAAGAGGCGCAGUCACGCCUUCAGAGACAAAGCUGGACUCGGGCCUGGGCCUGUGAGACCCGAGUCUGAGCAGAACCCUUGAGCCUUGCUGCAGACCCAGUCCCUCUGCACUGCGGCCACUUCUGCCAGCCCCGGGCUCACUCCGGGGGCCCUGCCAGCGCGUGCCGGGGCUUGGGGCUGCAGGAGAAGCUUUUGUCUGGGGGUCCAAGAGUAUCAGCUUGGAUGCUGAGGCUGGUCUACACCUGACAGUGUCUUUUAUUUGCAACUAUCUUGGCUAAGAGAAGCAGGUCAUUCUCAGGCAUUCAAUUCAUUGCAUUCAGAUUCCACAUCUUCUCAGAACACAGAACACUUCUUUUUUUUUUUUUUUUCUUCUCCCCUCCAGUGAAUUUUCCUUGUCAAAGUCCUCACCCGCUUCCAAGGCAGUCUGAGUUUGUGGAUUUAGUUAUUUAUUUAAUUUUUUAAAAAAGAAAUCUUUGUUUUUUUGUUUUUUAAAGAAAUCUUUAUUUUAUUUUAUUUAUUUUUGGUAGUGGGGAUCAAACUCGGGACCUUGAGCUUGCGAGGGAGGCAGGCGGUGGAACCACUGAGCUAAAUCCCCGGCUUAAUUUGGGUUUUUUGAGGCAGGGUCUUGUUAUGUAGCCCAGGCUGGCCUCGAAUUUGUGGUGAUCCUCCUGCCUCAACCUCCUGAGUGCUGGAUUACAGGUGUGUGCCACCACACCCAGCCAGAAUUUGCUGAUUUAGGGUUUCAGAGCUGCUGUGAGUUGGGGACAAAGAAACUUCACAACUGGGAAAAUACUUCCUAGUUCAACCCCAGCUGCCUUCAAAUGUUCUGGGUUGGAAUGGGCACGAAGGUAGAUGGGGUAGAGGAUAAGCCAAUAUGUCCAGUGGGGUUCAGUCUAAGUCUUAUCCAUUUCAUCAGAUUUAUGGAAAAUUGUCAAUAAGACUAAAAUACAAAGCCACCCAAACUUCAGUGUGGUCCCAGUGUUAUUCCCCCCCCCCAAAUAAUGCAUAUCUAUAAACACAGUCUGAGAGAAGACUAUUAAAAUGGUUUUAUCUGGU